AUCACUUCUCGGCCUUUUGGCUAAGAUAAAUUAUAGUAUCUGUUGUUAUCAGUUUAAAAUGACUGCCAAGCUUUUAUCUGUUCCAUGACUAGCGAUGCAUACACAAUAUUUUUUGUUGUCGUUGUUGUUUGUUUUUAAGGCAAAAACAUCAAUAAAUAUCUUUUGGACCACUUUGAAUGUGAAAUUCUUC
Molecule: small nuclear RNA, 190 nt
Filed under: Moschus moschiferus (Siberian musk deer)
Lineage: Eukaryota; Metazoa; Chordata; Mammalia; Artiodactyla; Moschidae
Description: U2 spliceosomal RNA (ENSMMSG00000024246.1)
Rfam family: U2 spliceosomal RNA
About the family: U2 is a small nuclear RNA (snRNA) component of the spliceosome (involved in pre-mRNA splicing). Complementary binding between U2 snRNA (in an area lying towards the 5' end but 3' to hairpin I) and the branchpoint sequence (BPS) of the intron results the bulging out of an unpaired adenosine, on the BPS, which initiates a nucleophilic attack at the intronic 5' splice site, thus starting the first of two transesterification reactions that mediate splicing.
Source: RNAcentral